AUCUGGCUCAGGAUGAACGCUAGCGGCAGGCUUAACACAUGCAAGGUCGAGGGGGCAUCGGGAGUAGCAAUACGUUGCCGGCGACCGGCGCAAGGGUGCGUAACGCGUGAGCAACAUGCCCGUAUCAGGGGGAUAAUCCAUGGAAACGUGGUCUAAUACCCCAUAGUAAUUAUGUAAGGCAUCUUAUAUAAUUUAAAGCUUUGGUGGAUACGGAUUGGCUCGCGUGACAUUAGCUAGAUGGUAAGGUAACGGCUUACCAUGGCUACGAUGUCUAGGGGUUCUGAGAGGAAGGCCCCCCACACUGGAACUGAGACACGGUCCAGACUCCUACGGGAGGCAGCAGUGAGGAAUACUGGACAAUGGAUGGAAAUCUGAUCCAGCCAUGCCGCGUGCAAGGAAGACGGCCCUAUGGGUUGUAAACUGCUUUUGUAUGGGAGCAAUAAGGGCUACGCGUAGUCCGAUGAGAGUACCAUACGAAUAAGCACCGGCUAACUCCGUGCCAGCCGCCGC
This 510-nucleotide ribosomal RNA is filed under the name uncultured bacterium. RNAcentral's name for it is "bacterial SSU rRNA". It matches the Rfam family "Bacterial small subunit ribosomal RNA", at positions 17 to 518 of the family's 1533-position model. The record is from RNAcentral.